This 778-nucleotide ribosomal RNA is filed under the name uncultured Neocallimastigales. RNAcentral's name for it is "partial large subunit ribosomal RNA". It matches the Rfam family "Eukaryotic large subunit ribosomal RNA", at positions 26 to 635 of the family's 3401-position model. Lineage: Eukaryota; Fungi; Neocallimastigomycota; Neocallimastigomycetes; Neocallimastigales. The record is from RNAcentral.
CGUCUAUAUACGUAUAGCAUAUCAAUAAGCGGAGGAAAAGGAAACUAACAAGGAUUCCCUAGUAACGGCGAGUGAAGCGGGAAGAGCUCAAAUUUGAAAUCUUAAAGGUUUUCCCUUGACGAAUUGUAGUUUAAAGAAGUGUUUUCUGUUGGAGUUUCGGUAAAAGUUCUUUGGAAUAGGACAUCAUAGAGGGUGAGAAUCCCGUAUUUGACCGUUACUUUCCAGCUUUGUGAUACACUUUCAAAGAGUCGGAUUGUUUGGGAAUGCAGUCCAAAAUGGGUGGUAAAUUUCAUCUAAAGCUAAAUAUUGGCGAGAGACCGAUAGCGAACAAGUACCGUGAGGGAAAGAUGAAAAGAACUUUGAAAAGAGAGUUAAACAGUACGUGAAAUUGUCAAAAGGGAAGCGUUUGACACCAGUGUUGUUUAGUUGAAAAUCAAUUCAAUAAUUUGUGAUUUUGAGUAGUAUUGACUUCAUCAGCUUGCCUGCUUUUUUUCAUAAAUUAUUUAAUGCACUUUUCAGUUAACAAGUCAACAUCAAUUUCUUUUGUUGUAAAAGGGUAAGAGGAAGGUGGCUUACGUUUCGGCGUAAGUGUUUAUAGCCUUUUACCUCUGCAAUCGGAGAGAUUGAGGACAGCAGCGUAGACUCCUUCUGGGGUUAGACUACACUUGUGCUAAGCUAUAGCCUUGUAUAGACAACUUGUUGACUAUGCUCAGUCAUGUAGCUUACUCGCUUGUGCUAUUUUACCUACGCUUAGGAUGUUGAUAUGCAUGACUGAUAU